RNAcentral lists this ribosomal RNA (493 nucleotides) under uncultured bacterium. Its description in RNAcentral is "partial 16S ribosomal RNA". It matches the Rfam family "Bacterial small subunit ribosomal RNA", at positions 30 to 523 of the family's 1533-position model. The record is from RNAcentral.
AUUGAACGCUGGCGGCAUGCCUUACACAUGCAAGUCGAACGGUAACAGGUUAAGCUGACGAGUGGCGAACGGGUGAGUAAUAUAUCGGAACGUGCCCAGUCGUGGGGGAUAACUGCUCGAAAGAGCAGCUAAUACCGCAUACGACCUGAGGGUGAAAGCGGGGGAUCGCAAGACCUCGCGCGAUUGGAGCGGCCGAUAUCCGAUUAGGUAGGUGGUGGGGUAAAAGCCUACCAAGCCAACGAUCUGUAGCCGGUCUUAGAGGACGACCAGCCACACUGGGACUGAGACACGGCCCAGACUCCUACGGGAGGCAGCAGUGGGGAAUUUUGGACAAUGGACGCAAGUCUGAUCCAGCCAUGCCGCGUGCGGGAAGAAGGCCUUCGGGUUGUAAACCGCUUUUGUCAGGGAAGAAAAGGUUCUGGUUAAUACCUGGGACUCAUGACGGUACCUGAAGAAUAAGCACCGGCUAACUACGUGCCAGCCGCCGCAGUAA